UACGUAGGGGGCUAGCGUUGUCCGGAAUCAUUGGGCGUAAAGCGCGUGUAGGCGGUCCGGUAAGUCCGCUGUGAAAGUCGGGGGCUCAACCCUCGGAUGCCGGUGGAUACUGCCGGACUAGAGUUCGGAAGAGGCGAGUGGAAUUCCCGGUGUAGCGGUGAAAUGCGCAGAUAUCGGGAGGAACACCUAUGGCGAAGGCAGCUCGCUGGGACGUUACUGACGCUGAGACGCGAAAGCGUGGGGAGCAAACAGG
RNAcentral lists this ribosomal RNA (253 nucleotides) under uncultured bacterium. RNAcentral's name for it is "partial 16S ribosomal RNA". It matches the Rfam family "Bacterial small subunit ribosomal RNA", at positions 524 to 776 of the family's 1533-position model. The record is from RNAcentral.